Molecule: ribosomal RNA, 491 nt
Filed under: uncultured bacterium
Lineage: Bacteria
Description: partial 16S ribosomal RNA
Rfam family: Bacterial small subunit ribosomal RNA
Source: RNAcentral
AGUGAACGCUGGCGGUAGGCCUAACACAUGCGAGUCGAACGGCAGCACAGUAAGAGCUUGCUCUUACGGGUGGCGAGUGGCGGACGGGUGAGGAAUACAUCGGAAUCUACUUUUUCGUGGGGGAUAACGUAGGGAAACUUACGCUAAUACCGCAUACGACCUACGGGUGAAAGCAGGGGAUCUUCGGACCUUGCGCGAUUGAAUGAGCCGAUGUCGGAUUAGCUAGUUGGCGGGGUAAAGGCCCACCAAGGCGACGAUCCGUAGCUGGUCUGAGAGGAUGAUCAGCCACACUGGACCUGGGCACCGUUCCAGAUCCCUACGGGAGGCAGCAUGGGGGAUUAUUGGACAAUGGGCGCAAGCCUGACCAGCCAUACCGCGUGGGUGAAGAAGGCCUUCGGGUUGUAAAGCCCUUUUGUUGGGAAAGAAAAGCAGCAGGUUAAUACCCCGCUGUUCUGACGGUACCCAAAGAAUAAGCACCGGCUAACUUCGUG